GUCAGAGCGGUGGUAGCUCAGUCGGGUAAGCGCCGGCUUCUCACGCCAGAGGUGCGGCUUCGAAUCCCAGCGCUGACA
This 78-nucleotide transfer RNA is filed under the name Plutella xylostella (diamondback moth). RNAcentral describes it as "tRNA-Glu". The record is from RNAcentral. Lineage: Eukaryota; Metazoa; Arthropoda; Insecta; Lepidoptera; Plutellidae.